AGGAAUAUUGGUCAAUGGGCGAGAGCCUGAACCAGCCAAGUAGCGUGAAGGAUGACUGCCCUAUGGGUUGUAAACUUCUUUUAUAAAGGAAUAAAGUCGGGUAUGGAUACCCGUUUGCAUGUACUUUAUGAAUAAGGAUCGGCUAACUCCGUGCCAGCAGCCGCGGUAAUACGGAGGAUCCGAGCGUCAUCCGGAUUUAUUGGGUUUAAAGGGAGCGUAGAUGGAUGUUUAAGUCAGUUGUGAAAGUUUGCGGCUCAACCGUAAAAUUGCAGUUGAUACUGGGUGUCUUGAGUACAGUAGAGGCAGGCGGAAUUCGUGGUGUAGCGGUGAAAUGCUUAGAUAUCACGAAGAACUCCGAUUGCGAAGGCAGCUUGCUGGACUGUAACUGACGCUGAUGCUCGAAAGUGUGGGUAUCAAACAGGAUUAGAUACCCUGGUAGUCCACACAGUAAACGAUGAAUACUCGCUGUUUGCGAUAUACAGUAAGCGGCCAAGCGAAAGCGUUAAGUAUUCCACCUGGGGAGUACGCCGGCAACGGUGAAACUCAAAGGAAUUGACGGGGGCCCGCACAAGCGGAGGAACAUGUGGUUUAAUUCGAUGAUACGCGAGGAACCUUACCCGGGCUUAAAUUGCAUUUGAAUGUUGGGGAAACCCAACAGCCGUAAGGCAAAUGUGAAGGUGCUGCAUGGUUGUCGUCAGCUCGUGCCGUGAGGUGUCGGCUUAAGUGCCAUAACGAGCGCAACCCUUAUCUUUAGUUACUAACAGGUUAUGCUGAGGACUCUAGAGAGACUGCCGUCGUAAGAUGUGAGGAAGGUGGGGAUGACGUCAAAUCAGCACGGCCCUUACGUCCGGGGCUACACACGUGUUACAAUGGGGGGUACAGCAGGCAGCUACCGGGCGACCGGAUGCCAAUCCCGAAAGCCUCUCUCAGUUCGGACUGGAGUCUGCAACCCGACUCCACGAAGCUGGAUUCGCUAGUAAUCGCGCAUCAGCCACGGCGCGGUGAAUACGUUCCCG
RNAcentral lists this ribosomal RNA (1016 nucleotides) under uncultured bacterium. RNAcentral's name for it is "bacterial SSU rRNA". It matches the Rfam family "Bacterial small subunit ribosomal RNA", at positions 357 to 1376 of the family's 1533-position model. The record is from RNAcentral.